UUAGUGUUAUUUUGGCAGAUUAGUGCAUUAAAUUUAGAAUUUAAUUAUGUUUUUAUACAAAUAAUAC
This 67-nucleotide transfer RNA is filed under the name Hydraena sp. IBE RA322. RNAcentral describes it as "transfer RNA-Leu". The record is from RNAcentral. Lineage: Eukaryota; Metazoa; Arthropoda; Insecta; Coleoptera; Hydraenidae.